This 3089-nucleotide long non-coding RNA is filed under the name Sus scrofa (pig). Its description in RNAcentral is "lncRNA (ENSSSCG00005030605.1)". The record is from RNAcentral. Lineage: Eukaryota; Metazoa; Chordata; Mammalia; Artiodactyla; Suidae.
UCCCAGGCCAGGGAUCAAACCUGAGCUAUAGCAAUGACAACUCCAGAUCUUCAACCCACUAGGCCACCAGGGAACUCCCAUCUCAUACUAUUAUUAUUCCUAUUUGACACGUGGGGAAAAUCGAGGCUCACUGAAGUCAGCAAAUAACUUCUCAAAGCUACAGUAAGUAGUAGAGGCAGGGAUCAAACUCGGGUGUGAUUCCAGAGCCAGCCAAGGUCACUGCUAGCCUUCCCUCCACCUGGGGAAGAGCUAGAGAAAGGCACUUGCUCAGGGCAAGGACAGUCUCUGAAGUGCAACAGCACUUUUGCCCAAAGUCAGAGAACAUGACUUUAAGUGCAAGGACUCGGGAACUAGAUGUCCUAGAUUCAAAUCCUGACUCCACCACUUACUGGGGGUGUGACCCGGGGCAAGUCAUUGAUAUCUCUGUGCCUCACUUUCCCCAGGAGUAAAAUCAGGGUCGUGGUAAGGCCAUCUCUUGGAGCUGUUAGGGGGACUAAAAGUUAAAUACUGCUUGGCUCAUAGAAAGCACCAAAUGUUAACGAUUAUUAUUAAGAAAAAGAUGCCCGUCCUUCCAGGCAGAUGCAGCCCUGCAGGGUGCAGAACCUGGCAAGCGGAGCAGACAAGAUUUCCGCCCCUCCCUCUGCCUGGUGGCCCCUCCCUCCUCCGGGUGCCACCAGGCAGCACAUGAGUCUACAACCUUACACCAGUCCUGCUGAGCAGUUAACUUCCAUGUGCUGCCAGCUCUUUCUCUCGGCUUCCCCUCCACCAGGCUGGCUGUGAAUCAGAGUCAGCUGGCACACUUUUUAAAAAUACAGACUCCCGGGGCCCCACCUUGGCCAGUUCUGACGCAGGUAGGCUGGGCUAGGGCCCAGCCAUCUGUAUGUUUAACAAGCCCCAGGUGACCAGGUGACCCGGGAACAGUGUGUCCCUGAACACAUGUUUCUGGAAGCACUAGAAGCCUCUCGCACCUGUUCUGGCUGUUUCCAUGGGUCCUUGGGAGCAAGCAGCCUUUCCUUCAUGCUCGGUCCCAGGCCUAGGCAGGCAGAGAAGGGGCGCAGGAAGUCUGUUCCCCUGCAAACCAGCCCACAGAGCAGAUGGCUGUGAGAACAGGCAUCGCAGGCUGAAUUUGCUGUCGUGCUUGAGUGGGUGACACGAGGGACCUCUUACCUGUAGACUUUGGGGUCCCCAGGCCCUUGCUACUCAAAAUACUGUUCACAGAGCAGCAGGACGGUUCCUCCAGGGAGCUUGUUAUAGAUGCAGUUGCUCAGGCCCCUGACCCACUGAAUCAGAUUCUGCAUUUUGCAAAAACUCCAAGAUGAUCUGUGAGCAAGUCUGAGGCACAGGCCUGAGGUCUCUCUCCACCCUGAUCGGAAAAAUCUCUAACCAAUGUGCACCUCUAACCUGUCUAAACCCACCUUGGGGGGGGUCAAUCUUUUCCUUCAAACUUCCAGAGAGCCCCAGAGAAACAGCCUGGGCCUUUCGGUAGCCCAGAUCCAUGCUCAGCAGCCAGGCCGGCGCUCACGGUGAACCUCGGCUUUAAUGAAUUAUUUAUUUCAAAGUCUACAUAAAAAUAACCCUUCCCAAUGCAUUGAGAACGAGACAACAACUCUGGCCUCUAUAAAUCCAGGGCGUACGACAUUCCCUUCUUUUGUAUAGAGCCGUGACCCCUACUUCCCUGGCCAAAGCCAUCCAAAGACAUCUAAUGCCCAAAGAAAACAAGCCACGUCUUCCUGUUGGCCAAGCGUCAAGUUAUCGGGCAGAUUUCACACUGGAGCUUGACCUCAUUAAUCCAGGGCCUAUCACAUUGCUGUAAAUGUCAGUGGAAAAAUAGCCAUUCAGUAGGUUUCCUUCAUUCCACCAGAAAGGGAAAAAACAGGAAGCUGACAGCAGCUGCGCCCCAGCCUGGCAAAUCCCAAGGGCCCGGCUGACAGGCGUUCCUUGUGAGCACCUACAUGCCCUUGGCCCCAGCCCGCUUGUCCAGAUAAAGGUGGGUCCCGUAUCUAUAUAAGCAAAUGCAGCAGUGAUCGUAGCAAUAAUUCGGGCCCCCAAGCACCCGUCCAGGCAAGAAAAUUGCUUGGUCUGAAUUUCUUUGGCCUGCACUACUAGUUGGCUGUUCAUCAUUCAGGUCCAUCCGAAUCUCGUCUGCCCAUUCAAAUGUCCUGCACGCCAAACCUCUGGGACUCCAAGGGACAUAAGGCCAUCCAAGUCCUCAUUCAUCCCGUUAAUGCAUAUUGAUUGUCUCCUGUGUGCCGGCCACCGUGCUGGGCAACCGGGGACACAGGGCUGAAUGAAUCAGACACAGUCACUGAUCUCAGAGGCUGCACGUCCAGGGUAAGCUUUCUCAAGCUCGGCAAGAUCGACCCUUGGGAUGGAACAAUUUUUUGUCGUUGGGGGGUGGAGGAAAAUUUUGUGCACAUUACACUGAUAUUAUCUACGAUGUUGGAGCCAAUUUUAUGUAUGAUUAUAAAUCCUUAUGACAACUCUGAAUUACACUCAUAUAUAUGAUCUAUAUCUCCAGGUGAAAAAAUUGAGACUCAAGGAAGCGAAGUAAUUGACGGAAGCCCAAAAGCCAGUGAAAGGCAGAGGCAGGAUUUGAACCCUGGCCCUGAACUUUCCCUCCCCUAGAAAAGGAAAUCCGAGCCUUUGUUUCUCAGAGUCUUCUGUAAACAGGUAGGGUGUGUGGUCACGUGACACUCUGCCCGGCCAUUCUAAAAGAGGCAUUCCUUCCUGGGGUCACCGUGGAGCUCAGUCACCACCUGCUGUAUCAAUCAAGCUGCAAACUGCCUGUGUCAAGGCACAUUUGUGGGACACUAGCAGGCCGAGGAAGGCCCCCUGAGUUCUGAAACAUCCAAGAACAGCUCCCAUCACCAAGCACCUGAACACAGGCCCUUCCCAAAAAUUAGGGCCAGGAGAGAAUGGGGCAGUCCCCAGGUACCUGGAGUACAACCCACUGUGACCCGUCCCCAGGCAUCCAGGGAUACACGGGGAAAGAAGCCAGACAUCCUGCAGUCAGCGUUAGGUAUUUACUAAGAACAUGAGUGAGGGGAUGCACGCAGCACAGAGCAGCGUUAGACCCCCAGGUGUGAGCU